GAUGCAAUUUAGUUUGAGUGUUUGACAAAUGUAGCCUUUAAUAAAAGAUUCUAACACUUUUUUUUUUUUUUGGUGCGUUCAGGCAUUGAGCUUUAUUGUGCACCUACUGCUGAUGGUUCGAAAGAAUGGCAAUCGUCGAUGCUUCACAUUGCGAUCGAAGGUGGAUGUUUCGUAUUGUCGGCUUGCCAGUUCUGCCUUCGUAAAGAUUUCCCUGAUCAUCCUGACUACUUGUUUACCGAUUGGUACGACGACAAAGAGCCUGACUCUAUUGUUUCCCAAGGUGGAAGUGUUAUUAUUUCACCUUUGGGACAGGUUCUUGCGGGACCAAACUUUGAAUCAGAGGGUCUCAUCACAGCUGAUCUUGGUAAAAAUAUAUAUAAUCUUCUUUAGUUUUUAUCUUAGGCUAUAGAAAAGGAUAAUUUUUUUAGCUAAUCAUAUUUUAUUUUUGUCAUCAAGAUCUUGGUGAUGUAGCAAGAGCUAAGUUGUACUUCGAUUCGGUUGGACAUUACUCGAGACCAGAUGUUUUACACUUGACCGUAAAUGAGCACCCGAAGAAACCGGUCACAUUCAUUUCGAAGGUGGAGAAAGCGGAAGAUGACUCAAACAAGUAAUCGGUUGUGAUUCGUCAGUUCAUGUCACUCCUAUGAAGGAGUCAAGUUCAAAAUGUUAUGUUGAGUUUCAAACUUUUAUGCUAAACUUUUUUUCUUAAUUUUCGUUAAUAAUGGAAGAGAACCAAUUCUCUUGUAUCUAAAGAUUAUCCAUCUAUCAUCCAAUUUGAGUGUUCAAUUCUGGAUGUUGUGUUACCCUACAUUCUACAACCAUGUAGCCAAUUAUUAUGAAUCUGGCUUUGAUUUCAGUUGUGUUCUUUUCUUUUUUUUCUUUGCAUAUUUGCAUUUAGAAUGUUUAAUAAUUAAGUUACUGUAUUUCCACAUACAUUAGUUCCAAGAAUAUACAUAUAUUAAUUUAUUUUUCUUAAAAAUGUUUUGGAAUGACUAAUAUUGACAACGAAAAUAGAAGCUAUGCUAAACCAUUACGUAUAUGUGACUUCACAUGUUGUUGUUUUACAUUCCCUAUAUAUAUGGAUGGCUGUCACAAUCAGAAACGUGAUCGAAAAAAGACAAACAGUGUUUGCAUAAAAAGACUAUUUCGUUUCAUUGACAAUUUGUGUUUAUUUGUAAAGAAAAGUGGCAAAGUGGAAUUUGAGUUCCUGCAAGUAAGAAAGAUGAAAUAAAAGACUUGAGUGUGUGUUUUUUUCUUUUAUCUGAAAGCUGCAAUGAAAUAUUCCUACCAAGCCCGUUUGAUUAUUAAUUGGGGUUUGGUUUUCUUGAUGCGAACUAAUUGGUUAUAUAAGAAACUAUACAAUCCAUGUUAAUUCAAAAAUUUUGAUUUCUCUUGUAGGAAUAUGAUUUACUAUAUGAGACUUUCUUUUCGCCAAUAAUAGUAAAUCCAAAGAUAUUUGACCGGACCAAAACACAUUGAUCUAUUUUUUAGUUUAUUUAAUCCAGUUUCUCUGAGAUAAUUCAUUAAGGAAAACUUAGUAUUAACCCAUCCUAAGAUUAAAUAGGAGCCAAACUCACAUUUCAAAUAUUAAAUAACAUAAAAUGGAUUUAAAAAAUCUAUACGUCAAAUUUUAUUUAUGACAUUUCUUAUUUAAAUUUAUAUUUAAUGAAAUACAGCUAAGACAAACCAAAAAAAAAAUACUUUCUAAGUGGUCCAAAACAUCAAUUCCGUUCAAUAUUAUUAGGUAGAAUCGUACGACCAAAAAAGGUAGGUUAAUACGAAAUUACAAACAUAUCUAUAUACAUAGUAUAUAUUAUUACCUAUUAUGAGGAAUCAAAAUGCAUCAAAUAUGGAUUUAAGGAAUCCAUAAAAGAAUAAAUUCUACGGAAAAAAAAAAAAGAAUAAAUUCUUUUAAGUUUUUAAUUUGUUUUUUAUUUGGUAGUUCUCCAUUUUGUUUUAUUUCGUUUGGAUUUAUUGUGUCCAAAUACUUUGUAAACCACCGUUGUAAUUCUUAAACGGGGUUUUCACUUCUUUUUUAUAUUCAGACAUAAAGCAUCGGCUGGUUUAAUCAAUCAAUAGAUUUUAUUUUUCUUCUCAAUUAUUAGUAGGUUUGAUGUGAACUUUACAAAAAAAACAAAAACAAAUCAAUGCAGAGAAAAGAAACCACGUGGGCUAGUCCCACCUUGUUUCAUUUCCACCACAGGUUCGAUCUUCGUUACCGUCUCCAAUAGGAAAAUAAACGUGACCACAAAAAAAAAACAAAAAAAAAGUCUAUAUAUUGCUUCUCUCAAGUCUCUGAGUGUCAUGAACCAAAGUAAAAAACAAAGACUCGAGUUGAUAUGUCUAGUACUAAAGAUAUGUCAACUGUCCAAAACGCAACUCCUUUUAACGGCGUUGCCCCAUCCACCACCGUGCGAGUUACAAUCGUCCAAUCCUCCACCGUCUAUAACGAUACUCCUGCCACUAUAGGUAACCAAUCCAUUAAUUCAUCCUCUGACCUAUUUUUAUUUUUAUUUUUUGAUAUGUAAAAUUUAUCGAAAACGUUCCAUUUCAAUAUGUAGACAAAGCGGAGAAGUAUAUUGUGGAGGCGGCAAGCAAGGGAGCAGAGCUAGUGUUGUUCCCGGAGGGGUUUAUCGGUGGCUAUCCUCGAGGUUUUAGGUUCGGUUUAGCGGUUGGCGUUCAUAACGAAGAAGGGCGUGAUGAGUUUCGGAAGUACCAUGCUUCUGCUAUUCAUGUUCCUGGUAUUACUAUUUACUUCCAUUAUUUGUAUUCUUUUUAUUAUCAUCUUAUCUUGUAUUUUAUCCAUAAAAUGAUUUUUGAUACAUUUUUAACCAAUCAAUGACUUUGAACCAUAUCCUCAAUUAUUGCAUGCUUAUCCUAGGCCGAGUGUAUUCAAAGUAUACACCACCCGAUCUCGGAUCCAAGCCUACCAAAAAUUUGGAUAUGCGGAUCUAGAUGACAAUAUUUAUCCUGAUCUUUAUCUUUUAAAUGUAUAAAUUACUAUAUGUUACAUUAAAUUUUAUAAUUUUUACACCAAAAAAUAUAAUAUUAAAUCUCUUUAAUUAAAGAUUUUUUUUAUUUCUCCUUUAUUUGGUUGCUGGAUUAUGAUUUUUAGUUGGCUAUGGUUGGAGUCUUGGUGAUGUGUAUAAGUUUUGGACAAUUGAAUUUUAUUUGGAACAAAGUAAACUUAACUUUGAGGGAAAAUAUGUUUGAUUUCGAGUUCUCUUUUUUUUUGUCACGUUUAGAUGAAAUUUAAUUGGAACAAGCAUCUAAUUAAUGAGUGUUCUUGCUCUAGUUUAAAUUUAGUUGAGCACUCUCAAUAUCUUGGAACACAAAAUGACUCUUUUUGGUUUUUGUGAUGAAUCUUCAGGCCCUGAAGUAGCAAGAUUGGCUGACGUGGCUAGGAAAAACCAUGUGUACUUGGUAAUGGGAGCCAUAGAGAAGGAAGGGUAUACCCUCUAUUGCACAGUUCUUUUCUUUAGUCCACAGGGUCAGUUCUUGGGCAAGCACCGUAAACUCAUGCCCACAAGUUUGGAACGUUGCAUUUGGGGCCAAGGGGACGGAUCAACCAUCCCCGUUUACGACACUCCCAUUGGAAAACUCGGUGCUGCUAUUUGCUGGGAGAAUAGGAUGCCCCUCUACAGAACUGCAUUGUACGCCAAAGGUCAGCUUUUAAUGCAAUGCCGUUUGAAACAUCUAGGCUUUUACAAAAAAAUCUUACAAAGUUUUUUUUUUAUUUUUCGUUUUUGGUGUUUAGGCAUUGAGCUUUAUUGUGCACCUACUGCUGAUGGUUCGAAAGAAUGGCAAUCGUCGAUGCUUCACAUUGCGAUCGAAGGUGGAUGUUUCGUCUUGUCGGCUUGCCAAUUCUGCCAGCGUAAACAUUUCCCUGAUCAUCCUGACUACUUGUUUACCGAUUGGUACGACGACAAAGAACAUGAUUCUAUUGUCUCCCAAGGUGGAAGUGUCAUUAUUUCACCUUUGGGACAAGUUCUCGCCGGACCAAACUUUGAAUCAGAGGGUCUCGUCACAGCUGAUAUUGGUAUGUAUAUGUAUAUUUACACUCUCAUUUGAUAGUCAUCUUAGGUUAUAGAAAAGGAUAACGUUUUUUUUUUUUUUUCCAUCAAGAUCUUGGUGAUAUAGCAAGAGCCAAGUUAUACUUCGAUUCGGUUGGACAUUACUCGAGACCAGAUGUUUUACACUUGACCGUAAAUGAGCACCCGAGGAAAUCGGUUACAUUCGUGACGAAGGUGGAGAAAGCUGAGGAUGACUCAAACAAAUAGUAAGAGACUUGAAGUUCGUAUCUGCUGGAGUUAUGUCAAUCGUAUGGAGUCAAGUCCAAAAUGUUCUGUUGCGUUUUCAUUUUAUGUUCAAGUUUAUUUAUCUUUCUCUUCAAUGGUAAGAUCUAUGGAGUCAAGUAAUAAUGGUAAGACUUAUGUUGUUGAAUAAAACGAAUUGGUUCUCUCCUCUUGUAUUUUAAAACUGUGCCAUUAUGUUUAUCUAAUUUGGGCGUUGGGCGUUGAAUCUCAAUUGUUGUUCAGCCGUAUAACUAUUUAGCCAACUAUUAUGAAUUAGGCUUUUGAGAUCUCUGUUUUUUUUUUUUUUUAAUAUCAGGAAGUUCUGGAUCGAAACUUGUAAUCCUUCCAGGCCCGAAACCACAUCGUAUAAUAUUAGUUUCGUUCCAAGCGUUACUCGAACCGAUGAACUCUAGCUCCGCCUAGGAUCUUUACCAAUUGAGCUAACGACACUUGGUUUUUUCUCUCAGAUCUCUGUUAUGAUCUUUCUAAUUUUCUUUGUACGUCAAAAACAUAUAUUUUCAUGUUUUAAUAAUUUUCCUAUUGCAUAGAAUCACAAGGAAACAUAUAUAGUCAAGACUUGAAAAUCAUCCAUUCGAAUCUAAUGAGAGUUUGAAAAGAGUCUACCAAAUUACUCAAUUGUCAAAAGCCGAAUCAUAUAGGAUAAUGAUGGCUAACCAAAACCAGGAAAUUCAAGUCACAUAUAGGAUAACUAAGAAUUAGUGAGUUAUUAAGUCUCAAAAAUUAGAACGUCGUUUAUUUAUUUUGUCGUCAAUUUUGCUAUACUUCUAUGGUUGUAGUAUUGUUUGGGGUCAAAUAUAUCAACCACCCCGCUCUUUACAUAAUUAACUAGGUGUUGUUCCAUGUCUUGCGUACGUACGUCAGAUUCAUUUUAAAUAUGUGGUUUAGACAUGUGCAUGUGAAGAAUACUUUCCGUGAAGAAUACUCCCUUUAACGAAGACAAUUUGGUUAUAACAUAAAUACAUAAUUUGAAGUCUAGUUGCGAUGGUGUUUGAAAUGGUCUUAAUUAUAAAUCACAAAUUUGGAUUGUAAUUGAUGAACAUGGAUUUUGAAAUACUUGAUUGAAAAGGAAUCUAUGUCACGUAGCUUUUUAACGAGUCAAAGAUUGCACAAUCGAAGCUACAAGCAAAAAGUUGUGAAUAGCUGUAUGCAAGACGUAGACGUUGCAUUGCGAAGGAAAAGGAAGUCUCUAUAAAUUGGAAACCUUUGAAAAUUCUAAUCAAAGCGAUCAUUAUAUAAUUAUGAUAACUCACAACUCGAGUUUUAACCCAAAUACGAACUUACUUAACCGCGCAUAUUGGACAGUCAAAUGCAUGUUAGUAAGUCAUAGCCAAAAGGGUCACACACCAGAAAAUAUUGGGGUACGUAGAACUUAAGUAAGACGAAAUAAGUUUUUUUUUUGCCUUCGUUGUCAGAAAAGAAUAUCAAAGCAUUAUGCAUAUUUGCAUGAAUUCAUGAAUGUACAAACACACAAAGCACCAAUAAUGGGAUUAAGAGUUGAAAUCGUUCUAGAAGUCAUAUAACGAAAUUAGAUCAAUCUUCUUUCAAAAAGUAUAACCUAAAUAGUUCAAAUAUAUAUGAAUCAUGUGCCAUCCUUUGGAUGAGAGAAAUUUAAGAAAAGUUAAGUCGAAGUUGACCAGUUCACAGAAAAAAAAAAACAGCUAAACAUUAACAUUGAUUAGCCAAAUAUUUUUUGCUCCUCUAAGUUACUAUACGCAUUUUAAUUAAAAUUUAGGUGAUCAAUCAAAUAUUAGCACGAAGAUCAUCCUAGAUGGAAAACUAAUUGAAUAAAUCUCUAAAUCAUCAUCUUUAAUCUAACAAGCAAAACAACUCCUUGAUAAUCCUAACCCCAAUUGAGGAUCUAACUUAGUCAUAACAAAAGAACAUAAGAAAUAAAUAUAGAAGAAAUAUGUUAAAAUAUAAAAUAAAAAAUCCAGGUUUUUUUAUUUUUUUGGUUUUUAAAAAGUUAGGUUUCAUAAAUGUUUUUAAAUAAAAAGUGUAGAGUCAAAGAUUCGAUUCACCAAACUAUCUCUUUGCCUUUCUAAGAACCAGAAUAAAAUACAAAUUAGUUGAGGUGAAAUGAUAUGGUGUAAUUUUGUUUUUUUAUUUUCUUGGUCCACAACAUAAUAUGAAUAAUAACACAUGAAUGACACUAACACAGACCAUAACUCACACCAAUUUAGUAUAAUUUGUUAAAUAUAUUUGCUUAAAGGUUUUUGUAGUGAGAAGUUACACAUGAAAAGUACAUAAAUAAAUAAAAAAAUUACACAAAAAGACCUUCUUUGCUGUCGAUUGAAUUAAUAAACAUGUGCAAAUUAAUGUAAAUAUAGAAACACGACACAGCCAAAAAGAAAAUAACAUUUUCUUAGUGGUCCACAAAUGACAAAUUAAGUACAUACAACUUCUUAGAUAGAACCAAACGAAGAGAGGGGAAAACAAAAUUACAAAAUAAAAAAUAUUAUCUAUCACGUGGAAACAAAAUGCAUGAAACUAUAUAUGGGGUAAUAGCCUAAUAGGAAUUAAAAAAACAAAAAAAAACCUAAACAAAAAAAAAUCCAUAAGUUAUACACAAAAUGUAUUUGGCUUGUCUUGUGUCCAGAUUCUUUAUAAUGUUAAUGGUACUUUUUCUCUUUCGUUGAAGGCAUCAAAGAUGGUUUGAUAGUGUUACUUUUUUGUUGUGCAAAAGAAAAACCUUUAGUCCUAUUAUCUUCCAUUAUCUUUGUAUAUUUUCACUAUAAAGUCGAUAUAAACGUUCUUUAUUGUGAACUGUAAUCUUUCUGUAUUAUUGAACAUGCGUUAAAAGAAAUUUUUUUUUGCAAACCUUUCACUUUCAUCAAUUUAAUUUUCAAUUCAAUUAGUGGUCCUACGUACAAAGUAGUUGUACAGUAUACAACUUAUUAGAUAGUAUGGCGAGACAAUAAUUAGAAAAAGAUUGGACUGCUUGAAAAUUAAAGGAAAAAAGAUUCAUAGCAAAAUCGUAAGUAAAUAAAAAUUAUUACUUCUUAUGAUGAAGCAAAAUGUUUGGGAUAUGAAAUAAUAUGAACAAAAGAAAAAAUCAUUAAGUUCACAGUUGAAUAAGUGGUGAUGGUCUAACGGUUUUUUAAAUAAAUGAAAUAUAUUUUAAACACGAUAUUAUCAACGAUUGAUAUUUUAUUAGUUUUAAAAAUGAAUACUUAAAAUCACUAGUUAAAUUCUAUUUUUCUUUUAAAUCUUAAAUCUUAUAACAAAAAUCCGAAAUUGCUUAACUUUUACAUACAAGUGUGUUUAUAAAUUUGUAGAGUUUUGAUUACUCAGAUUGGAGAUAUCUUGCUAAUGAUAUUUUUUCUUCUUUGGGAUGUGUUGCCUUCUUCGCUAAAGGAGAGAGAACCCCAUUUGUGAAUUCUGACGUCUUCGGAAAUGUAAUGAGGCUACAUUUGACAAACUUAAAAAUUGCUCAGAAUCUUAUUUGCUCCUAAACCAAAUGAUGGAGAAAACAGUCUUUUACGGUAAUUUUUAUCUUUUUCUUGUCUAAUUUUUCUAUGAGAUUUUUUAUUUAAAUAGUCAGUUAUAAACAUUAAAAUAUUACUUGAUAUUUUGAAAAUUAAAAUGAUAUAUGCUAUGAAAUAAUUUUGAUUAUUUUAAAUAUAUCAUCUGUUAAACGGUCGUCCAAUAUUAGUAUAGUACCACUUUCUCUCUACAAUCUCUUUAGCUUUAUAUACAUUUUUAUAGGUUUUCUAAACGUCUUUGUCCCACAAUAAUCUCUCUAAGUACAUUUUUAUACAUUUUCUUUACAAAUAUUUGUAUACAUUUUAUAUACGUAUUUUUCUAUGCUUAAGAGUUUUGGUUUACAAAUAAUAUAAAUAAUUGAGUAUGUGAAUCCGACAUCCACGAGAUAGUCUUAAUAUAAGUGACAAUAGUUUUAAAAUAUAAGUAACAAAAACUAGAAAUAUGUUUUUUGCAGAUUUUUUGAAUUAAAAGCAUUUUAUGCAAUUGAUGAUUAAAAGAUUCAAUUGAAAAAAUCUCAAACUUGUUUUUCUUUUAUCAUGUAAUAAAGUUGUAGUUCCACUUGAGAAUAUGUUUUUUUUUUCCUGAUAUAUGCUUCGCAAAUUACAUAUAUAUCAUUUUUUAAAAAUGUUACAUAUCACUUAUUAAUUUUUUUAAAAACAAUUAACGAUUUAUUAAUUUAUCGAUUUAUGUCAUUUUUUACAUUGUUUCAAUUUGAAAUCGAUUUUUUUUUAUUAAAUUAUAAAAAUGAUUAAUUUAUUGAGUAUUAAUUUAUAGAGAUUUUAUUCUAUAUAACAUUAGGUGGAGAAUUACAUUUAUAUUCUUCUUACCUUCAUAUUAGGUGGAGGAUUACAUUUAUAUUCUUCUUACAUAAGAUAAGAAAAAGAACACGUGAACUACUGAACACGUGAACGCGUGAUCCACCACCGGUUCGUUCUGCAAUACCGUCUCAAGUAUAAAACUAAAAAUUGAUCGACAAAAAAAAAAAGACUAUAUAUAAUGCCUCCCAAGUCUCUUCAGUGUCAUCAAAGUAUAAAGUAAAAACAAAGACUCGAGUUAAUAUGUCUAGUACUGAAGAAAUGUCAUCAGUCAAAAACACAACUCAGGUUAUUGGCGUUGACCCAUCCUCCACCGUACGAGUUACCAUCGUUCAAUCUUCCACCGUCUAUAAUGAUACCCCGGCCACUUUAGGUAACUAAUUAAUCCAUUAAUUAUUCCGCUAUAUAUAUAUAUAUUUUUUUUUUUGAUAUGUAACAUUUAUCAAAACGUUCCAUCUCAAAUUGUAGACAAGGCGGAGAAGUUUAUUGUGGAGGCGGCGAGCAAAGGAGCGAAGUUGGUGUUGUUUCCCGAGGCGUUCAUCGGCGGUUAUCCUCGAGGUUUUAGGUUUGGUUUAGCGGUGGGAGUUCAUAACGAAGAAGGGCGUGAUGAGUUUCGUAACUACCAUGCUUCUGCUAUUAAAGUCCCUGGUAAAAUCAUCCGUUGACUCUAUUUUUUUUUUGUAUCUCAGUUUGUAGUUUCAUUUUAUUAUCUUGUUUAAGUAAAUUGAUAUUUUGAUAGAUUUGGGACUAAUUUAUCAGUAACAUUGAACAAAAAUCUUCAAUUAUUAUGUGCUUAUCCCCGAGUACGACUAUUUCAAAAUCACCACCCGAUCUUAUCGAUUUUGUAAGAUUGGAUAUGAAUGAUAUAAUUAAUAUUCAGGAUCCGUUAGAAUCGGAUCCAUAUGUUUAAUUGUAUAUAGUAUUACACUUCAUUGUCUUUUUACUUUUGGCAACAUAUGAUACUCUGUUAUUAUUAUUAUUAUAUAUAUUUUUCUGUCAAUACAACAUAUAAAGAGUUUCUUACAAAAAUUACAAAAGUGUUUUUAAUUUUUUUCUCUGUCCACAUCUUGUUUGUUUUCUGCUUGUCUUGUUUUGUUUGAUUUUAACGUAUCCGGAUUCGUUGCUACCCAUAAGGGUUCGGAAAUCCGGAUUAUGGUUUUUAUUUGGUUAUGCAUGUUAGCUGCUGUUGUUGGAGUCUUAAGGACAGUUAAAUUUUAUUUGGAACAAAGUAAACUUAACUCUUAGGAAAAACAUGUUUCUGCUUCAUGUAGAGUUCUCUGUUUUUGUCACUAUGAGUGUUAUAGCUCUAGUUUAAGUGAGCACUCUCAAAGCUUGGAUCACAAAAUGAUUAUUUCUUGCAUAUGUUUGGUACUCUUGUAAAUGAUGUAAUGAAUCUACAGGCCCUGAAGUGGAAAGAUUGGCUGAGUUGGCCGGGAAAAAUAAUGUGCACUUGGUAAUGGGGGCUAUAGAGAAGGAUGGUUAUACACUCUAUUGCACAGCUCUUUUCUUCAGUCCACAAGGUCAGUUUUUAGGUAAGCACCGUAAAGUCAUGCCCACAUCUUUGGAACGUUGCAUAUGGGGUCAAGGGGACGGAUCAACCAUCCCCGUUUACGACACUCCUAUUGGCAAAAUCGGUGCUGCUAUUUGCUGGGAGAAUAGGAUGCCCCUCUACAGAACUGCAUUGUACGCUAAAGGUCAGCUUUACAAUGCAAUGUAGCUUGACAUAUCCGGCUUGUAAAGUAAGAUUCCUAAUAAAUAUGCGCUUUUUGGUGUGCAGGCAUUGAGAUUUAUUGUGCACCUACUGCUGAUUAUUCGUUGGAAUGGCAAGCAUCGAUGAUUCACAUUGCGGUAGAAGGUGGAUGUUUCGUGUUGUCAGCGCACCAGUUCUGCAAGCGUAGAGAGUUCCCUGAACAUCCUGAUUACUUGUUUAAUGACAUAGUAGACACUAAAGAACAUGAUCCUACUGUCUCCGGAGGUGGAAGUGUCAUUAUUUCACCUUUGGGAAAGGUUCUCGCCGGACCAAACUAUGAAUCAGAGGGUCUCGUCACAGCUGAUCUUG
RNAcentral lists this long non-coding RNA (10673 nucleotides) under Arabidopsis thaliana (thale cress). RNAcentral describes it as "long non-coding RNA (ATHA_LNC000158)". Lineage: Eukaryota; Viridiplantae; Streptophyta; Magnoliopsida; Brassicales; Brassicaceae. The record is from RNAcentral.